This 287-nucleotide ribosomal RNA is filed under the name Polypogon elongatus. Its description in RNAcentral is "partial 18S ribosomal RNA". It matches the Rfam family "Eukaryotic small subunit ribosomal RNA", at positions 1549 to 1831 of the family's 1831-position model. Lineage: Eukaryota; Viridiplantae; Streptophyta; Magnoliopsida; Poales; Poaceae. The record is from RNAcentral.
AUCUUGGGAAAUUUCAUCGUGAUGGGGAUAGAUCAUUGCAAUUGUUGGUCUUCAACGAGGAAUGCCUAGUAAGCGCGAGUCAUCAGCUCGCGUUGACUACGUCCCUGCCCUUUGUACACACCGCCCGUCGCUCCUACCGAUUGAAUGGUCCGGUGAAGUGUUCGGAUCGCGGCGACGGGGGNGGUUCGCCGCCCCCGACGUCGCGAGAAGUCCAUUGAACCUUAUCAUUUAGAGGAAGGAGAAGUCGUAACAAGGUUUCCGUAGGUGAACCUGCGGAAGGAUCAUUG